Molecule: ribosomal RNA, 489 nt
Filed under: uncultured bacterium
Lineage: Bacteria
Description: partial 16S ribosomal RNA
Rfam family: Bacterial small subunit ribosomal RNA
Source: RNAcentral
GACGAACGCUGGCGGCGUGCUUAACACAUGCAAGUCGAACGGUGAAGGGACCAGCUUGCUGGUUCUGAAUGUUUGUCGAACGGGUGAGUAACACGUGAGUAACCUGCGCCCUUCUUCUGGAGAACCGCAUGGAAGACGGGCUAUUACGGGAUAUUCUGGGUCUGUUGCAUGUCGGGCCCAGGUGAGAUAUUGCUUCUGCGGGUGAUGGGGUCGCGGCCUAUCGGCUUGUUGGUGGGGUGAUGGACUACGAAGGCGGGGACGGGUAGCCGGAGUGAGAGGGUGGACGGUGACACUGGGACUGAGCCAAGGCCCAGACUGCUAGGGGAGGCAGCAGUGGGGAAUAUUGGAAAAUGAGCGCAAGCCUGAUGCAGCGACGCAGCGUGAGGGAUGGAGGCGUUCGGGAUGUAAACCUCUUGCGACAGUGAAGCAGGCCUGCUAUUUGUGGGUGGAUUGACGGUAGCUGGAUAAGAAGCGCCGGCUAACUACGUG